RNAcentral lists this ribosomal RNA (1385 nucleotides) under uncultured bacterium. RNAcentral describes it as "bacterial SSU rRNA". It matches the Rfam family "Bacterial small subunit ribosomal RNA", at positions 28 to 1381 of the family's 1533-position model. The record is from RNAcentral.
GACGAACGCUGGCGGCGUGCCUAAUACAUGCAAGUCGAGCGAGCGGAACUAACAGAUUUACUUCGGUAAUGACGUUAGGAAAGCGAGCGGCGGAUGGGUGAGUAACACGUGGGGAACCUGCCCCAUAGUCUGGGAUACCACUUGGAAACAGGUGCUAAUACCGGAUAAGAAAGCAGAUCGCAUGAUCAGCUUUUAAAAGGCGGCGUAAGCUGUCGCUAUGGGAUGGCCCCGCGGUGCAUUAGCUAGUUGGUAAGGUAAAGGCUUACCAAGGCGAUGAUGCAUAGCCGAGUUGAGAGACUGAUCGGCCACAUUGGGACUGAGACACGGCCCAAACUCCUACGGGAGGCAGCAGUAGGGAAUCUUCCACAAUGGACGCAAGUCUGGUGGAGCAACGCCGCGUGAGUGAAGAAGGUUUUCGGAUCGUAAAGCUCUGUUGUUGGUGAAGAAGGAUAGAGGUAGUAACUGGCCUUUAUUUGACGGUAAUCAACCAGAAAGUCACGGCUAACUACGUGCCAGCAGCCGCGGUAAUACGCAGGUGGCAAGCGUUGUCCGGAUUUAUUGGGCGUAAAGCGAGCGCAGGCGGAAGAAUAAGUCUGAUGGGAAAGCCCUCGGCUUAACCGAGGAACUGCAUCGGAAACUGUUUUUCUUGAGUGCAGAAGAGGAGAGUGGAACUCCAUGUGUAGCGGUGGAAUGCGUAGAUAUAUGGAAGAACACCAGUGGCGAAGGCGGCUCUCUGGUCUGCAACUGACGCUGAGGCUCGAAAGCAUGGGUAGCGAACAGGAUUAGAUACCCUGGUAGCCCAUGCCGUAAACGAUGAGUGCUAAGUGUUGGGAGGUUUCCGCCUCUCAGUGCUGCAGCUAACGCAUUAAGCACUCCGCCUGGGGAGUACGACCGCAAGGUUGAAACUCAAAGGAAUUGACGGGGGCCCGCACAAGCGGUGGAGCAUGUGGUUUAAUUCGAAGCAACGCGAAGAACCUUACCAGGUCUUGACAUCUAGUGCCAUUUGUAGAGAUACAAAGUUCCCUUCGGGGACGCUAAGACAGGUGGUGCAUGGCUGUCGUCAGCUCGUGUCGUGAGAUGUUGGGUUAAGUCCCGCAACGAGCGCAACCCUUGUUAUUAGUUGCCAGCAUUAAGUUGGGCACUCUAAUGAGACUGCCGGUGACAAACCGGAGGAAGGUGGGGAUGACGUCAAGUCAUCAUGCCCCUUAUGACCUGGGCUACACACGUGCUACAAUGGGCAGUACAACGAGAAGCGAGCCUGCGAAGGCAAGCGAAUCUCUGAAAGCUGUUCUCAGUUCGGACUGCAGUCUGCAACUCGACUGCACGAAGCUGGAAUCGCUAGUAAUCGCGGAUCAGCACGCCGCGGUGAAUACGUUCCCGGGCCU